UGCACUUAAGUGUGUGAUCUGGUUAUGAAUGAAGUGGGUGUAAACCUUUGUGAUUAGGAUUCAAAUCUGAUAUAAAUAGAAAAUAUUAGAUGAUUAUUUCAUUCCCCUAUUUUGGUCGUUUGCACUAACAAGAGGUAGCAGGUACCCCAAGAAAUCAGACGCAAAUUUGGGAUUUCUAAAACAUGGGUGCACCACUAAAGAAAAAAGAAAAAAGUAUUAAGUAAGAAUUGAACUCUAUUCUUUGGGUAAGUAACUCAACAUUCUAUUAAGUGCACCAGUUGACCUUUUUGGAGUAUGAGGACAAUCAUAUAGUAUUAGAUCAAUUCAAAAAUAUGUACAUAAAUAAUUUAAUUUGACAGCAAGACUAUGAAUUCACGUGCCUGGGCACUAGAUUCUCCCCUUGCGGAAAUAGUCGAAGUUGUGCAAGCUAACCCAAUCUCUACCGGCUUAUUAGCUAAAUUUUAAUGGAAUCUUGUUCACGUAUUUUUUCUUCUUAUCAAAAGUGUACCAACAGUUAGAGUAUCCAAGGCGUACAACAAUUCUUUAUGAAUGAACAAUCGAAAUGUUUUUGGAGAAUCUUCAAAAUUAAAUAUUAAUCUUGAGUGGUAAAAUGCUUAGAGACUGAAGAAAGACCUCUGGGAAGAAUGGAUAAUUGCAUCAGAACACCAACAUUAUAAAAUGUGAAAAAUAUUUUAAUUGGCAAAUAAAUUAUUUAUGGAUAUGGAGAUUAUAACGUUUCUUAAAAUAUGUUAGCGUGUUGAAUAGGGUGGCAGAGGGGUC
This 780-nucleotide long non-coding RNA is filed under the name Nicotiana benthamiana. RNAcentral describes it as "long non-coding RNA (NBEN_LNC022210)". The record is from RNAcentral. Lineage: Eukaryota; Viridiplantae; Streptophyta; Magnoliopsida; Solanales; Solanaceae.